Molecule: ribosomal RNA, 292 nt
Filed under: uncultured bacterium
Lineage: Bacteria
Description: partial 16S ribosomal RNA
Source: RNAcentral
GGACUACCCGGGUAUCUAAUCCUGUUUGCUCCCCACGCUUUCGCGCCUUAGCGUCAGUUCCGAGCCAGGUAGCCGCCUUCGCCACCGGUGUUCUUGUGUAUAUCUACGAAUUUCACCUCUACACACACAAUUCCACUACCCCCUCUCGGCCUCUAGCCUCACCGUAUCAAAUGCAAUCCCCAGGUUAAGCCCAGGACUUUCACAUCUGACGUGUCAAGCCGCCUACGCGCCCUUUACGCCCAGUAAUUCCGAACAACGCUAGCCCCCUUCGUAUUACCGCGGCUGCUGGCAC